This 459-nucleotide ribosomal RNA is filed under the name uncultured bacterium. RNAcentral's name for it is "partial 16S ribosomal RNA". It matches the Rfam family "Bacterial small subunit ribosomal RNA", at positions 338 to 795 of the family's 1533-position model. The record is from RNAcentral.
CCUACGGGAGGCAGCAGUGAGGAAUAUUGGUCAAUGGGCGCGAGCCUGAACCAGCCAAGUCGCGUGAGGGAAGACGGUCCUAUGGAUUGUAAACCUCUUUUGUCGGGGAGCAAAAGACGCCACGCGUGGCGUUCCGAGAGUACCCGAAGAAAAAGCAUCGGCUAACUCCGUGCCAGCAGCCGCGGUAAUACGGAGGAUGCGAGCGUUAUCCGGAUUUAUUGGGUUUAAAGGGUGCGCAGGCGGAAGAUCAAGGCAGCGGUAAAAUUGAGAGGCUCAACCUCUUCGAGCCGUUGAAACUGGUUUGCUUGAGUGAGCGAGAAGUAUGCGGAAUGCGUGGUGUAGCGGUGAAAUGCAUAGAUAUCACGCAGAACUCCGAUUGCGAAGGCAGCAUACCGGCGCUCAACUGACGCUCAUGCACGAAAGUGUGGGUAUCGAACAGGAUUAGAUACCCCAGUAGUC